Molecule: ribosomal RNA, 1188 nt
Filed under: Triticum aestivum (bread wheat)
Lineage: Eukaryota; Viridiplantae; Streptophyta; Magnoliopsida; Poales; Poaceae
Description: partial small subunit ribosomal RNA
Source: RNAcentral
AUGGCUGCCAUGUGGUCUCCAAUCAUCGCUCUCCUCUUGCUCCUGCUCCCACUCGUGCCGUCCUCCUCCUCCGCCAUCACGCUCCCGCUCCAUGGCAACGUCUAUCCUGUCGGCCACUACUAUGUUACGUUGCAGAUUGGUAAACCCCUGAAGCACUACUUCUUGGACAUCCACACCGGAAGCAACCUCACCUGGCUGGAGUGUCAGCACCCGCACCUCGGCUGCCAGCACUGCACCCAGGGGCAUAAACACUCAUAUUACUCGCCAAAACUUAGCAACUUGAAGGUGGGAUGUCAACACAUGUACUGUGUUGCACUGCGGAAAGACCUGCCAGGUAUUAACCCUCAAUGCCCCAUCAAGGAGCCACAUCAAUGCCACUACAAAAUUCGAUACCUCGAUGGGACGACAGAAGGUGUUCUCUCCCUUGACAAGAUCUCUGUCGGGGGAAAGGAAAACAAUAUUGCGUUAGGAUGUGGAUACAACCAGCACCCACGGAAACCAUCGCCCGUACAUGGCAUCCUUGCCCUUGGGAUGGGAACGGUGGGUUUUGUCCCGCAACUCAAGUUGCAGAAGAUGAUUUCCAAGAACAUCAUUGGGCAUUGCCUUGGCAAGGAUGGAGGGGGCUACCUCUUCUUUGGGGACAAGCAGUUUGGCUCGGAAGGCAUAACCUGGGCACCCAUGAGAAGAUACGAACUUUUCUACUCACCUGGUCAAGCAAAACUACACCUAGACGGACAGCCAGAGCCUAUAUACAAGCAUGGAGUGAAUGCUGUCUUUGACAGUGGUUCCACCUACACCUACAUACCUGCCCGGAUAUACAAUCCCUUUGUUCAUACGGUGAGACAUAUGAUCGGCAGUUCACACCGCGAGGUGCAUGAUCAUGACCUGCCACAUUGCUGGAAAUUCAAAUCUAUCGACGAGGUUAAGAGGUUGUUCAAGCCACUGUCAUUGCAGUUUGACAACAAAAUUGCCAUGCAUAUCCCUGCUAUGAACUACCUCAUCCACACGAGAAGCAAUAAUUGGUGCCUGGCCAUCCUCAACGGAACACACGUUGGUGAAGACCGACGGAUCUUGAUUGGAGACGCUACAAUGCGGGAUAUGCUUGUGAUAUACGACAAUCAGGAUGGUAGGCUGGGAUGGGUUCACCAACAAGAGUGCACCAGGCCUCAUCCUGCUUCGCGUCUCUGA